Molecule: ribosomal RNA, 253 nt
Filed under: uncultured bacterium
Lineage: Bacteria
Description: partial 16S ribosomal RNA
Rfam family: Bacterial small subunit ribosomal RNA
Source: RNAcentral
UACGUAGGGGGCAAGCGUUGUCCGGAUUUAUUGGGCGUAAAGAGCGUGUAGGCGGCCGUACAGGUCAGCUGUGAAAACUCGAGGCUCAACCUCGAGACGUCGGUUGAAACCGUACGGCUAGAGUCCGGAAGAGGAGAGUGGAAUUCCCGGUGUAGCGGUGAAAUGCGCAGAUAUCGGGAAGAACACCCGUGGCGAAGGCAGCUCGCUGGGACGUUACUGACGCUGAGACGCGAAAGCGUGGGGAGCAAACAGG